RNAcentral lists this ribosomal RNA (496 nucleotides) under uncultured bacterium. RNAcentral describes it as "partial 16S ribosomal RNA". It matches the Rfam family "Bacterial small subunit ribosomal RNA", at positions 28 to 506 of the family's 1533-position model. The record is from RNAcentral.
GAUGAACGCUGGCGGCGUGCCUAAUACAUGCAAGUCGAGCGAACGGACGAGAAGCUUGCUUCUCUGAUGUUAGCGGCGGACGGGUGAGUAACACGUGGAUAACCUACCUAUAAGACUGGGAUAACUUCGGGAAACCGUAGCUAAUACCGGAUAAUAUUUUGAACCGCAUGGUUCAAAAGUGAAAGACGGUCUUGCUGUCACUUAUAGAUGGAUCCGCGCUGCAUUAGCUAGUUGGUAAGGUAACGGCUUACCAAGGCAACGAUGCAUAGCCGACCUGAGAGGGUGAUCGGCCACACUGGAGCUGAGACACGGUCCAGACUCCUACGGGAGGCAGCAGUAGGGAAUCUUCCGCAAUGGGCGAAAGCCUGACGGAGCAACGCCGCGUGAGUGAUGAAGGUCUUCGGAUCGUAAAACUCUGUUAUUAGGGAAGAACAUAUGUGUAAGUAACUGUGCACAUCUUGACGGUACCUAAGCAGAAAGCCACGGCUAACUACGU